This 580-nucleotide ribosomal RNA is filed under the name Escherichia coli. RNAcentral's name for it is "partial 23S ribosomal RNA". It matches the Rfam family "Bacterial large subunit ribosomal RNA", at positions 296 to 888 of the family's 2925-position model. Lineage: Bacteria; Pseudomonadati; Pseudomonadota; Gammaproteobacteria; Enterobacterales; Enterobacteriaceae. The record is from RNAcentral.
AGCCCAGAGCCUGAAUCAGUGUGUGUGUUAGUGGAAGCGUCUGGAAAGGCGCGCGAUACAGGGUGACAGCCCCGUACACAAAAAUGCACAUGCUGUGAGCUCGAUGAGUAGGGCGGGACACGUGGUAUCCUGUCUGAAUAUGGGGGGACCAUCCUCCAAGGCUAAAUACUCCUGACUGACCGAUAGUGAACCAGUACCGUGAGGGAAAGGCGAAAAGAACCCCGGCGAGGGGAGUGAAAAAGAACCUGAAACCGUGUACGUACAAGCAGUGGGAGCCUCUUUAUGGGGUGACUGCGUACCUUUUGUAUAAUGGGUCAGCGACUUAUAUUCUGUAGCAAGGUUAACCGAAUAGGGGAGCCGAAGGGAAACCGAGUCUUAACUGGGCGUUAAGUUGCAGGGUAUAGACCCGAAACCCGGUGAUCUAGCCAUGGGCAGGUUGAAGGUUGGGUAACACUAACUGGAGGACCGAACCGACUAAUGUUGAAAAAUUAGCGGAUGACUUGUGGCUGGGGGUGAAAGGCCAAUCAAACCGGGAGAUAGCUGGUUCUCCCCGAAAGCUAUUUAGGUAGCGCCUCGUGAA